This is a long non-coding RNA of Sorghum bicolor (sorghum), 193 nucleotides long. RefSeq lists it as uncharacterized. The record is from RefSeq and is a predicted model, not a curated record. Lineage: Eukaryota; Viridiplantae; Streptophyta; Magnoliopsida; Poales; Poaceae. The transcript has 2 exons.
GUGGAAUAUCUUGCAUUGGAAGGAAAUAGUGGAGAUUUUACAUCAUUUGGAUUGCUUGAGCUGAAGGAACCUGCUGAAACUCCAUUUGUAGUUGCUUCAGUAUCUUCUUCCAGCUUUGCAAGAUUGUCUGCCCAAGUUGAAAGCUUCAUACAGAACUUGACGUCACAUAAUGACCAGUCCAAUGUAAUGACUC